RNAcentral lists this non-coding RNA (45 nucleotides) under Schistosoma curassoni. Lineage: Eukaryota; Metazoa; Platyhelminthes; Trematoda; Strigeidida; Schistosomatidae. The record is from RNAcentral.
AUCCAGCUGACGAGUCCUAAAUAGGACGAAACGAGCAUUCUAAAU